Molecule: ribosomal RNA, 424 nt
Filed under: uncultured bacterium
Lineage: Bacteria
Description: partial 16S ribosomal RNA
Rfam family: Bacterial small subunit ribosomal RNA
Source: RNAcentral
AUUGAACGCUGGCGGUAUGCUUAACACAUGCAAGUCGAACGGUAACAGGCCUUCGGGCGCUGACGAGUGGCGGACGGGUGAGUAACGCGUAGGAAUCUGCCUCAUAGUGGGGGACAACGUGGGGAAACUCACGCUAAUACCGCAUACGCCCUACGGGGGAAAGCGGGGGAGUCUUCGGACCUCGCGCUAUGAGAUGAGCCUGCGUUAGAUUAGCUAGUUGGUAGGGUAAAGGCCUACCAAGGCGACGAUCUAUAGCUGGUCUGAGAGGACGAUCAGCCACACUGGGACUGAGACACGGCCCAGACUCCUACGGGAGGCAGCAGUGGGGGAAUAUUGCGCAAUGGGCGAAAGCCUGACGUAGCCACGCCGCGUGAGCGAUGAAGGCCUUCGGUCGUAAAGCUCUGUGGGGAGGAGACGAAGAAAG